GGCUCACCAAGGCGACGAUCCGUAACUGGUCUGAGAGGAUGAUCAGUCACACUGGAACUGAGACACGGUCCAGACUCCUACGGGAGGCAGCAGUGGGGAAUAUUGGACAAUGGGCGAAAGCCUGAUCCAGCCAUGCCGCGUGUGUGAAGAAGGUCUUCGGAUUGUAAAGCACUUUAAGUUGGGAGGAAGGGCAGUUACCUAAUACGUGAUUGUUUUGACGUUACCGACAGAAUAAGCACCGGCUAACUCUGUGCCAGCAGCCGCGGUAAUACAGAGGGUGCAAGCGUUAAUCGGAAUUACUGGGCGUAAAGCGCGCGUAGGUGGUUUGUUAAGUUGGAUGUGAAAUCCCCGGGCUCAACCUGGGAACUGCAUUCAAAACUGACUGACUAGAGUAUGGUAGAGGGUGGUGGAAUUUCCUGUGUAGCGGUGAAAUGCGUAGAUAUAGGAAGGAACACCAGUGGCGAAGGCGACCACCUGGACUGAUACUGACACUGAGGUGCGAAAGCGUGGGGAGCAAACAGG
Molecule: ribosomal RNA, 522 nt
Filed under: Pseudomonas veronii
Lineage: Bacteria; Pseudomonadati; Pseudomonadota; Gammaproteobacteria; Pseudomonadales; Pseudomonadaceae
Description: bacterial SSU rRNA
Rfam family: Bacterial small subunit ribosomal RNA
Source: RNAcentral